This 389-nucleotide ribosomal RNA is filed under the name uncultured bacterium. RNAcentral's name for it is "bacterial SSU rRNA". It matches the Rfam family "Bacterial small subunit ribosomal RNA", at positions 28 to 417 of the family's 1533-position model. The record is from RNAcentral.
GACGAACGCUGGCGGCGUGCUUAACACAUGCAAGUCGAGCGGUAAGGCCCUUUCGGGGGUACGACGAGCGGCGAACGGGUGAGUAACACGUGGGUGACCUGCCCUCAGCUCUGGGAUAAGCCUGGGAAACUGGGUCUAAUACUGGAUAUGACUCCACGGUGCAUGUCGUGGGGUGGAAAGCCUUGUGCGGCUGAGGAUGGGCCCGCGGCCUAUCAGCUUGUUGGUGGGGUGANGGCCUACCAAGGCGACGACGGGUAGCCGGCCUGAGAGGGCGACCGGCCACACUGGGACUGAGAUACGGCCCAGACUCCUACGGGAGGCAGCAGUGGGGAAUCUUGCGCAAUGGGCGAAAGCCUGACGCAGCGACGCCGCGUGAGGGAUGACGGCCU